GCAGGGAUAGCGCAGUGGUGAGAGCGCUUGCCUCCCACCAAUUACCGCUGUGUGGGGUGCCAGAGGCUUUUCUUGCGCGGUUUCCGGUUUCAAAUCUCUCUUAUAGGGUACCCACCAAUGUGGCCUGGGUUCGAAUCUCGGACCCGGCG
Molecule: non-coding RNA, 149 nt
Organism: Desmophyllum pertusum
Lineage: Eukaryota; Metazoa; Cnidaria; Anthozoa; Scleractinia; Caryophylliidae
Source: the annotation of a GenBank genome assembly